This 1544-nucleotide ribosomal RNA is filed under the name Staphylococcus aureus. Its description in RNAcentral is "partial 16S ribosomal RNA". It matches the Rfam family "Bacterial small subunit ribosomal RNA". Lineage: Bacteria; Bacillati; Bacillota; Bacilli; Caryophanales; Staphylococcaceae. The record is from RNAcentral.
CUCCAGAGUUUGAUCAUGGCUCAGGAUGAACGCUGGCGGCGUGCCUAAUACAUGCAAGUCGAGCGAACGGACGAGAAGCUUGCUUCUCUGAUGUUAGCGGCGGACGGGUGAGUAACACGUGGAUAACCUACCUAUAAGACUGGGAUAACUUCGGGAAACCGGAGCUAAUACCGGAUAAUAUUUUGAACCGCAUGGUUCAAAAGUGAAAGACGGUCUUGCUGUCACUUAUAGAUGGAUCCGCGCUGCAUUAGCUAGUUGGUAAGGUAACGGCUUACCAAGGCAACGAUGCAUAGCCGACCUGAGAGGGUGAUCGGCCACACUGGAACUGAGACACGGUCCAGACUCCUACGGGAGGCAGCAGUAGGGAAUCUUCCGCAAUGGGCGAAAGCCUGACGGAGCAACGCCGCGUGAGUGAUGAAGGUCUUCGGAUCGUAAAACUCUGUUAUUAGGGAAGAACAUAUGUGUAAGUAACUGUGCACAUCUUGACGGUACCUAAUCAGAAAGCCACGGCUAACUACGUGCCAGCAGCCGCGGUAAUACGUAGGUGGCAAGCGUUAUCCGGAAUUAUUGGGCGUAAAGCGCGCGUAGGCGGUUUUUUAAGUCUGAUGUGAAAGCCCACGGCUCAACCGUGGAGGGUCAUUGGAAACUGGAAAACUUGAGUGCAGAAGAGGAAAGUGGAAUUCCAUGUGUAGCGGUGAAAUGCGCAGAGAUAUGGAGGAACACCAGUGGCGAAGGCGACUUUCUGGUCUGUAACUGACGCUGAUGUGCGAAAGCGUGGGGAUCAAACAGGAUUAGAUACCCUGGUAGUCCACGCCGUAAACGAUGAGUGCUAAGUGUUAGGGGGUUUCCGCCCCUUAGUGCUGCAGCUAACGCAUUAAGCACUCCGCCUGGGGAGUACGACCGCAAGGUUGAAACUCAAAGGAAUUGACGGGGACCCGCACAAGCGGUGGAGCAUGUGGUUUAAUUCGAAGCAACGCGAAGAACCUUACCAAAUCUUGACAUCCUUUGACAACUCUAGAGAUAGAGCCUUCCCCUUCGGGGGACAAAGUGACAGGUGGUGCAUGGUUGUCGUCAGCUCGUGUCGUGAGAUGUUGGGUUAAGUCCCGCAACGAGCGCAACCCUUAAGCUUAGUUGCCAUCAUUAAGUUGGGCACUCUAAGUUGACUGCCGGUGACAAACCGGAGGAAGGUGGGGAUGACGUCAAAUCAUCAUGCCCCUUAUGAUUUGGGCUACACACGUGCUACAAUGGACAAUACAAAGGGCAGCGAAACCGCGAGGUCAAGCAAAUCCCAUAAAGUUGUUCUCAGUUCGGAUUGUAGUCUGCAACUCGACUACAUGAAGCUGGAAUCGCUAGUAAUCGUAGAUCAGCAUGCUACGGUGAAUACGUUCCCGGGUCUUGUACACACCGCCCGUCACACCACGAGAGUUUGUAACACCCGAAGCCGGUGGAGUAACCUUUUAGGAGCUAGCCGUCGAAGGUGGGACAAAUGAUUGGGGUGAAGUCGUAACAAGGUAGCCGUAUCGGAAGGUGCGGCUGGAUCACCU